UGGAGUAAAAAUUUCUCUGCGAUUUGUUCCAAAUUCGUGUGAAAAUGCCCGCAAAGAAGGAUUCGAGCAAGGGUGCCAAGAAAGGGGCUGCCGCUCCUGCUGGGGCGAAACCGACCGCCGAUCCUGUGACUUCCGGAUCCACUACCGCUGCGGAGCCAGCCGCCAAGGAAGCCAAGGGCACCAAGAAGGGCAAAGGCAAGAAGAAGUAACGUUCCUAGCUGGUUUGGUGGCACUAACGUGACUAAAAAAGGAAUUACAAGUUUCCGCAAAGAAAACAAUAAACAAUAAUGGUUUAAAACCAUCCAAACUAAA
This is a long non-coding RNA of Drosophila erecta, 312 nucleotides long. RefSeq lists it as uncharacterized. The transcript is spliced from 2 exons. NCBI's taxonomy places the organism in Eukaryota, Metazoa, Arthropoda, Insecta, Diptera, Drosophilidae. The record is from RefSeq and is a predicted model, not a curated record.